RNAcentral lists this ribosomal RNA (497 nucleotides) under uncultured Bacteroidales bacterium. RNAcentral's name for it is "bacterial SSU rRNA". It matches the Rfam family "Bacterial small subunit ribosomal RNA", at positions 29 to 507 of the family's 1533-position model. The record is from RNAcentral. Lineage: Bacteria; Pseudomonadati; Bacteroidota; Bacteroidia; Bacteroidales.
AGUGAACGCUAGCGACAGGCUAACACAUGCAAGUCGAGGGGCGAGCGGGGAGUGAGGCUUGCUUCAUCCGCCGGCGACCGGCGCACGGUGAGUAACACGUAUGCAACCUGCCCCUGGGCUGGGGGAUAAGCCGGAGAAAUCCGGUCUAAUACCGCGUAACAUCCUUGCGGGACAUCCCCGUUAGGAUCAAAGGAAGCGAUUCCGGCCAGGGAUGGGCAUGCGGCGCAUUAGCUAGUCGGCGGGGUAACGGCCCACCGAGGCGACGAUGCGUAGGGGUUCUGAGAGGAAGGUCCCCCACACUGGUACUGAGACACGGACCAGACUCCUACGGGAGGCAGCAGUGAGGAAUAUUGGUCAAUGGGCGCGAGCCUGAACCAGCCAAGUCGCGUGAGAGAAGACGGUCCUAUGGAUUGUAAACCUCUUUUGCCGGGGAGCAAGCUGUGUCACGUAUGACACAGCUGAGAGUACCCGGAGAAAAAGCAUCGGCUAACUCCGUG